CGUAACAAGGUUUCCGUAGGGUGAACCUGCGGAAGGAUCAUUG
This 43-nucleotide ribosomal RNA is filed under the name Lawsonia inermis (henna). Its description in RNAcentral is "partial 18S ribosomal RNA". The record is from RNAcentral. Lineage: Eukaryota; Viridiplantae; Streptophyta; Magnoliopsida; Myrtales; Lythraceae.